UACAGAGGGUGCGAGCGUUAAUCGGAAUUACUGGGCGUAAAGCGCACGUAGGUGGCGACGUAAGUCGGGUGUGAAAGCCCCGGGCUCAACCUGGGAAUUGCAUUCGAGACUGCAUUGCUGGAGUACGGAAGAGGAGGGCGGAAUUCCCGGUGUAGCGGUGAAAUGCGUAGAUAUCGGGAGGAACAUCAGUGGCGAAGGCGGCCCUCUGGUCCAGUACUGACACUCAAGUGCGCAAGCGUGGGGAGCAUACAGU
This 253-nucleotide ribosomal RNA is filed under the name uncultured bacterium. RNAcentral describes it as "partial 16S ribosomal RNA". It matches the Rfam family "Bacterial small subunit ribosomal RNA", at positions 524 to 776 of the family's 1533-position model. The record is from RNAcentral.